Molecule: RNase P RNA, 158 nt
Filed under: Actinomyces sp.
Lineage: Bacteria; Bacillati; Actinomycetota; Actinomycetes; Actinomycetales; Actinomycetaceae
Description: partial RNase P RNA component class A
Rfam family: Bacterial RNase P class A
About the family: Ribonuclease P (RNase P) is a ubiquitous endoribonuclease, found in archaea, bacteria and eukarya as well as chloroplasts and mitochondria. Its best characterised activity is the generation of mature 5'-ends of tRNAs by cleaving the 5'-leader elements of precursor-tRNAs.
Source: RNAcentral
AACCCCAUCCGGAGCAAGACCGAGCAGCAGACGUUAAGAGGUGCCCCUUCGUUGUCUGCGGGUAGGUUGCUUGAGACCAUCGGCAACGGUGGUCCUAGAUAGAUGGUCGCCACUACGAAUACGUAGAACAGAACCCGGCGUACAGGCCGGCUGUUAUG